Non-coding RNA from Lolium perenne, 789 nucleotides. NCBI's taxonomy places the organism in Eukaryota, Viridiplantae, Streptophyta, Magnoliopsida, Poales, Poaceae. The record is from RefSeq and is a predicted model, not a curated record.
CACGCCCCUGCCCUCGCGUAUUAUCCCCGUCCCCGUCUCUUCUCCGUCCCCGUCUCGUACGAACCCUAUCGAGACAGCGAGCGGCCGGCGGUGGGUAGAGCGACGGCGAGCGGAGCGGCGGCGAGCGGAGCGCUGUGGGAGGGGCGGAGCAUCUUCAAGGCGUGAGGGGAUGGAUCCCGCCUAGCCGCUCCACAUCAGAUCGCCGCAAUUCUUGGAGUACGACCGGCGCCGUCCUCUUUGGAGUACGAUCGGCGCCGCCAUCUACUACGUUUCAUCUUCGCUGCCUGCCGGUCGCUAGCUCUACAUGAUGCUCCAGAUCGGGUCAAACCGCCGAAUAGUUGAAGGAAAUCGUAAGGACUGACUUGUGUUCCUUGAAGAUCACAUGGACAAAAUCAAUAGUUUCCAAGAGUCAUCUUGGUCACAAAAAAUAUUGCUGGAAAUAAUUGUAUGGAAUAUGUAAUUUAUGCCCAACUGUUGCGAAUAAUGUGACUGAAACUUUGUGUUUUAAAUGCUGAUAACUGAUGGAUGUUGACUUUACAGACUUGUUUUAAUGUGUUGCCAUAAAAAUCGAAUCUUUUAUAAGUUACGCUGAGUUUUCUUCAUCGUUGCUUGUUAUGGUGUUAUGAGCUUGUACACAAACCCUGUGUACCAAAUACAUUGUUUUGGAAGCUGCGGAUUGGGGAUUGGUAGAGGAGAGUAUUUGUGGGGAUCGGGUGACAGGUGGGGAUUCACCCAAUCCCCUAGCGGAUUAUCCCCACUAAUCCCCACAAAUACUCCACUACCAAACAA